Molecule: non-coding RNA, 247 nt
Organism: Cinara cedri
Lineage: Eukaryota; Metazoa; Arthropoda; Insecta; Hemiptera; Aphididae
Source: the annotation of a GenBank genome assembly
UCCGUGGUGCGUCGAUCCCGGGUGACCGGACAAACCAAUUCGUUCGUUCGGCCGUUUGGUUUUUUUUAUGUUUCGGUACAACGUCGUCGCCGUGUGACCGACGCGAUAAAUUUCGAUCGCCGGCCGCCGGUAUGUUUUCGCGGUCCUAACGCGCGUCGACUGUUAUCGAAUAUUUUUUCGCGUUUCGCAACCGAGACGGUUUGUCGUGUGUGUCGAGAACGACUCGGGUUAUCGGUGGGUUUUUUUU